CACUAAGUUGCUUAGGGUCUUGCCAAGUUGCUGAGCCUGGCUUUAAACUCACGGAGCCUCCUGAGCUGCUGAGAUUAUAGACGUGCACUACCACGUCCAACCUGUUUUCAGUUUUUUAGGAUAUAUGUUUAGGAGUCACAUUGCUGAUCAGGUAGUAACUCUGUGUUCAACAAGUCAAGGAACUGCUGUACUGUUUGCCACACUGGCCACCAUUGUGCAUUCCCACCAGCAGUGAUGAGCGCUUCCAUUCCUCUACACAGCCACCAACACUCAAUACUGUCUUUGAUUCUAGCUCUCCUCCCAGUAUGAAGUGGCAUCCCGUGAUCUCGAUUCUCAUUUUGUUGAUGAAUGUAUUGUUGGAAAGUGUCUUCUCGCUUUUCCCUGUCAUUUAGUUAUGACUCAUGAAUGAAGCAGAAGGCUUUACUUUUUUGAAUUAUUUGUCUCUUCUAACACCUAAUGUCCAGGGUGGUGGUGGGAAGAUUUAUUUGGAACAAUAAAUAAACAAGCAAGUGUGGAAAGCUCAAAACAGGAUGAUUUAAUAAAUGUUUCUCACCUCGGCUGUGUUUUAGCUGUAAGUAGAUUCGGAAAGGAAAGCAAGAAUAGAACUAAUUGCUCAUCAAGAGAGUAGUAACAAAUAUAAGUGCUUCUGAUACACAUUUAAAUUAGAUUACAUUUAAUGAGAGGUUUUCUAAAUGGAGUUAAUUUGAAAGGACACACAAGUCAUUGGGUUUUAAUCUGUGUACCAUCACAAAUAGCUAUAAUCCCUCCACCCCCUCCAGUUCUUGGUAAAUAAAAGUUACUCUUCAGAAGAGCCUUUUACUUCCGUGUUCCUCCUACUCUCUGUGGAUGGCAGCUUCUGAGUGUGUUUGCAAGUAUACGGUACCAGUUAGGGAUGAAAAAAUAGACUAGUAUGCAUGUCUUUGGGGACCAGAAAGCAUGGGCAUUUGAUAAAU
This 953-nucleotide long non-coding RNA is filed under the name Marmota monax (woodchuck). Lineage: Eukaryota; Metazoa; Chordata; Mammalia; Rodentia; Sciuridae. The record is from RNAcentral.